AGAGUUUGAUUCUGGCUCAGGAUGAACGCUGGCGGCAUGCCUAAUACAUGCAAGUCGAACGAGAGACCUUCGGGUCUCUAGUGGCGAACGGGUGAGUAACACGUAGGGAACCUGCCCGCGCACCGGGAAUACGCUCUGGAAACGGAGAACAAAUCCCGAUGUACAGGAAGGAGGCAUCUUCUUUCUGUGAAACAUCCUUUAGGGGAUGGGGCGCGGAUGGACCUGCGGUGCAUUAGUUGGUUGGCGGGGUAAAGGCCCACCAAGACGAUGAUGCAUAGCCGGCCUGAGAGGGCGGACGGCCACAUUGGGACUGAGACACGGCCCAGACUCCUGCGGGAGGCAGCAGUAGGGGAUUUUCGUCAAUGGGCGCAAGCCUGAACGAGCGAUGCCGCGUGAGUGAAGAAGGCCUUCGGGUCGUAAAGCUCUGUUGCGGGGGAAAAAAGGCAGCAUCAGGAAAUGGGUGCUGACUGAUGGUGCCCCGCCAGAAAGUCACGGCUAACUACGUGCCAGCAGCCGCGGUAAUACGUAGGUGGCGAGCGUUAUCCGGAAUGAUUGGGCGUAAAGGGUGCGUAGAUGGCAUAGUAAGUCUUUUGUAAAAAUGCUGGGCUCAACCCAGUAGGGCAAAAGAUACUGCAAAGCUAGAGUAUGACAGAGGCAAGUGGAACUACAUGUGUAGCGGUAAAAUGCGUAAAUAUAUGUAAGAACACCAGUGGCGAAGGCGGCUUGCUGGGUCGAUACUGACAUUGAGGCACGAAAGCGUGGGGAGCAAACAGGAUUAGAUACCCUGGUAGUCCACGCCCUAAACGAUGAGUACUAAGUGUUGGUGAGAAUCAGUGCUGAAGUUAACGCAUUAAGUACUCCGCCUGAGUAGUACGUACGCAAGUAUGAAACUUAAAGGAAUUGACGGGAGCCCGCACAAGCGGUGGAGCAUGUUGUUUAAUUCGACGAUACGCGAAGAACCUUACAGGUCUUGACAUAGCACGCGAAGGCGUAGAGAUACGUUGGAGGAUAGCGUGCAUACAGGUGGUGCAUGGUUGUCGUCAGCUCGUGUCGUGAGAUGUUGGGUUAAGUCCCGCAACGAGCGCAACCCCUGCCCGCAGUAGCCAGCACGUUGAGGUGGGCACUCUGCGGGGACUGCCGGGGACAACCCGGAGGAAGGCGGGGACGACGUCAAAUCAUCAUGCCCCUUAUGGCCUGGGCGACACACGUGCUACAAUGGCGCCGACAGAGGGAUGCGAAGCGGCGACGCGGAGCGAACCCCAAAAACGGCGCCCCAGCUCGGAUUGUAGUCUGCAACCCGACUACAUGAGGCCGGAAUCGCUAGUAAUCGCGGAUCAGAACGCCGCGGUGAAUACGUUCCCGGGUCUUGCACACACCGCCCGUCAA
Molecule: ribosomal RNA, 1386 nt
Filed under: uncultured bacterium
Lineage: Bacteria
Description: bacterial SSU rRNA
Rfam family: Bacterial small subunit ribosomal RNA
Source: RNAcentral